UCUGGUGGAAAUGGCGGAGGGGUCACACCCGUUCCCAUUCCGAACACGGCCGUUAAGCCCUCCAGCGCCGAUGGUACUUGGGACGCAGGUCCCUGGGAGAGUAGGACUCCGCCAGAG
This 117-nucleotide ribosomal RNA is filed under the name Bacillota bacterium. The record is from RNAcentral. Lineage: Bacteria; Bacillati; Bacillota.